GACGAACGCUGGCGGCGUGCUUAACACAUGCAAGUCGAACGGAAAGGCCCUGCUUUUGUGGGGUGCUCGAGUGGCGAACGGGUGAGUAACACGUGAGUAACCUGCCCUUGACUUUGGGAUAACUUCAGGAGACUGGGGCUAAUACCGGAUAGGAGCUCCUGCUGCAUGGUGGGGGUUGGAAAGGUACGGCGGUUGGGGAUGGACUCGCGGCUUAUCAGCUUGUUGGUGGGGUAGUGGCUUACCAAGGCUUUGACGGGUAGCCGGCCUGGGAGGGUGACCGGCCACAUUGGGACUGAGAUACGGCCCAGACUCCUACGGGAGGCAGCAGUGGGGAAUAUUGCACAAUGGGCGGAAGCCUGAUGCAGCAACGCCGCGUGCGGGAUGACGGCCUUCGGGUUGUAAACCGCUUUCGCCUGUGACGAAGCGUGAGUGACGGUAAUGGGUAAAGAAGCACCGGCUAACUACGUG
Molecule: ribosomal RNA, 468 nt
Filed under: uncultured bacterium
Lineage: Bacteria
Description: partial 16S ribosomal RNA
Rfam family: Bacterial small subunit ribosomal RNA
Source: RNAcentral